This 77-nucleotide transfer RNA is filed under the name Ramlibacter alkalitolerans. RNAcentral describes it as "tRNA-Asp". It matches the Rfam family "tRNA". Rfam says of the family: Transfer RNA (tRNA) molecules are approximately 80 nucleotides in length. Their secondary structure includes four short double-helical elements and three loops (D, anti-codon, and T loops). Further hydrogen bonds mediate the characteristic L-shaped molecular structure. tRNAs have two regions of fundamental functional importance: the anti-codon, which is responsible for specific mRNA codon recognition, and the 3' end, to which the tRNAs corresponding amino acid is attached (by aminoacyl-tRNA synthetases). tRNAs cope with the degeneracy of the genetic code in two manners: having more than one tRNA (with a specific anti-codon) for a particular amino acid; and 'wobble' base-pairing, i.e. permitting non-standard base-pairing at the 3rd anti-codon position. Lineage: Bacteria; Pseudomonadati; Pseudomonadota; Betaproteobacteria; Burkholderiales; Comamonadaceae. The record is from RNAcentral.
GGUUCGUUAGCGCAGUUGGAUAGCGCACCGGCCUGUCACGCCGGGGGCCGCGGGUUCGAGUCCCGCACGGACCGCCA